RNAcentral lists this ribosomal RNA (445 nucleotides) under uncultured bacterium. RNAcentral describes it as "partial 16S ribosomal RNA". It matches the Rfam family "Bacterial small subunit ribosomal RNA", at positions 331 to 792 of the family's 1533-position model. The record is from RNAcentral.
CCAGACUCCUACGGGAGGCAGCAGUGGGGAAUAUUGCACAAUGGGGGAAACCCUGAUGCAGCAACGCCGCGUGAGUGAGGAAGUAUUUCGGUAUGUAAAGCUCUAUCAGCAGGGAAUAGAAAAGAAGGUACCUGAAAAAGAAGCCCCGGCUAACUACGUGCCAGCAGCCGCGGUAAUACGUAGGGGGCAAGCGUUAUCCGGAUUUACUGGGUGUAAAGGGGGCGCAGACGGCAGCGCAAGCCAGGAGUGAAAGCCCGGGGCCCAACCCCGGGACUGCUCUUGGAACUGCGCGGCUGGAGUGCAGGAGGGGCAGGCGGAAUUCCUGGUGUAGCGGUGAAAUGCGUAGAUAUCAGGAGGAACACCGGCGGCGAAGGCGGCCUGCUGGACCGCUACUGACGUUGAGGCUCGAAAGCGUGGGGAGCGAACAGGAUUAGAUACCCCUGUA